This 762-nucleotide unclassified non-coding RNA is filed under the name Cimex lectularius (bed bug). RNAcentral's name for it is "uncharacterized LOC106669644, transcript variant X2". The record is from RNAcentral. Lineage: Eukaryota; Metazoa; Arthropoda; Insecta; Hemiptera; Cimicidae.
AGGAGUGGUGCAAGUAACAAUAGUAUGAUAAAAUCCUGAAUACGAUUCUUGGAGGAAUGAAAGCCUUAAUAAGUUUUUGGAUACAGUUAUUUACAACGUGAAAAACAACGCACAGGGAUUGCCGCUAGAUGACUUUCCAUUAGUUAAUGAGACUGAACAUGUAGAUAAUACAACUUGGCUCAGUAAAAUCUUCACGAUGUAUAAAUUAUACAAUGGAAGCAUCUACAAUAUUACCACAAUAGGACGCUCUAAAGAUUCUUUUAUUUCAUAUAAAGGAAAUGUACUUCAAUUGGAUAUUGGAGUUAAUUUUAAAAGGAUCCAGAUCAAUUAUUACUUUGAAGCGAGUGGAUAUUACAAUUUUUUAUCACAGAAUCUUCUAACCGAGUCCAUUAUUAAUGAUUUAAAAGUAAAUUUUGAAGUGGCCAUGGACACAAAAGCUUUAAAUGCUUCGGUGACAAGCCUGGAUUUUGCUGAUACUGGGUGAGAUUUUUAUUUGUCCAUUUAAGAAUAAAUGGAUUAACUCUGUGAUUUAUUGUAGGCCCAUGGUGAUAAAUUUAAAAGGGUCAGAGAUAUCAACUUGGAUCAUCCAACAGGUUUUGAAUAUCAGUACGACCUGGUUUGAAAAACGUAUUCUCAACGCUGUUAGUAAAACAAUAAUAAAGAUAGUGAAUGAAAUUUUCAAGGAGAUACUUCAAGGAAUCAAGGCUUGAUUUAAGGAUUGUACUAUAUUUACAGAAUAAAAACAAUUUCAGCCCUCCCAAA